Non-coding RNA from Elaeis guineensis (African oil palm), 626 nucleotides. The record is from RefSeq and is a predicted model, not a curated record. NCBI's taxonomy places the organism in Eukaryota, Viridiplantae, Streptophyta, Magnoliopsida, Arecales, Arecaceae.
CCUUUUCCUAACAUAAUCAAACUUCAGAGGACCUUUUUUGCAAAAUGCACGUACUGAGGGAGAGGAGUCUACGAAAGAACGGUAAAAGGUCCUGCAGACCGCUCGCUAGGGUUUUGGCGGCGAUCAAUAGAAGAAACGAUCUGACGGGAGGGACCUUUCAAGGAAUAGCAUCCCCCCGCAUCAUCCCUCGAUCUCGCUCUCUAGCCCCUUAGAGCUUCCACCCUCAUCCAUGGCGAUUCCCAGCCCCUACUCCGGCGUCAGCACCCUCGCCUUCCUCGUGCGUCGGCGUUCACCUUCGGUCUCGUCUAUGGGAGCAUGAAGCUCUCCUACCUCCAGGCAAAGGCAAAACAUAAUAAAAAAGCUGAGGCGAAAGGGCAUCAUUGAACUGGAAAUGCAUAAUUUUCUUUCUUGUUUCACAAUGACCUGAUUUGAGGGUUUAUUUCAAUUUGUUGCAGCAUCAUGAUUUACUUGCGAUUCUUAUCUUUCCCAGGAAAACUGGGAGGAUGGGUGACAUUUAUUCUGAUAAAAGAGGAGUUCAUCUCCUAACGUUUGUGAACUUGAAAAAAAUUAGAGAUGCCAAUUUAAAUAUCUCAAUCAUGAAACCUAUAUUGGUAGUUCCCUUCUUA